UACGAAGGGGGCUAGCGUUGCUCGGAUUUACUGGGCGUAAAGGGCGCGUAGGCGGUUCGUACAGUCAGGCGUGAAAUUCCUGGGCUCAACCUGGGGGCUGCGUUUGAUACGUGCGGACUUGAGUGCGGAAGAGGGUCGUGGAAUUCCCAGUGUAGAGGUGAAAUUCGUAGAUAUUGGGAAGAACACCGGUGGCGAAGGCGGCUAUCUGGACCGACAUUGACGCUGAGGCGCGAAAGCGUGGGGAGCAAACAGG
RNAcentral lists this ribosomal RNA (253 nucleotides) under uncultured bacterium. RNAcentral's name for it is "partial 16S ribosomal RNA". It matches the Rfam family "Bacterial small subunit ribosomal RNA", at positions 524 to 776 of the family's 1533-position model. The record is from RNAcentral.